Molecule: ribosomal RNA, 253 nt
Filed under: uncultured bacterium
Lineage: Bacteria
Description: partial 16S ribosomal RNA
Rfam family: Bacterial small subunit ribosomal RNA
Source: RNAcentral
UACAGAGGGUGCAAGCGUUAAUCAGAGUUACUGGGCGUAAAGGGCGCGUAGGCGGUUAGAUAAGUGAGAUGUGAAAUCCCUGGGCUUAACCUAGGAAUGGCAUCUCAAACUAUUUGACUGGAGUACGGUAGAGGGCAGUGGAAUUUCCGGUGUAGCGGUGAAAUGCGUAGAUAUCGGAAGGAACAUCAGUGGCGAAGGCGACUGCCUGGACUGAUACUGACGCUGAGGCGCGAGAGCGUGGGGAGCAAACAGG